RNAcentral lists this ribosomal RNA (447 nucleotides) under uncultured bacterium. RNAcentral's name for it is "partial 16S ribosomal RNA". It matches the Rfam family "Bacterial small subunit ribosomal RNA", at positions 331 to 795 of the family's 1533-position model. The record is from RNAcentral.
CCAGACUCCUACGGGAGGCAGCAGUGGGGAAUAUUGCGCAAUGGGGGCAACCCUGACGCAGCAACGCCGCGUGAUUGAAGAAGGCCUUCGGGUUGUAAAGAUCUUUAAUCAGGGACGAAAAAUGACGGUACCCGAAGAAAAAGCAUCGGCUAACUCCGUGCCAGCAGCCGCGGUAAUACGGAGGAUGCGAGCGUUAUCCGGAUUUAUUGGGUUUAAAGGGUGCGUAGGCGGACAGUCAAGUCAGCGGUAAAAAUGCGGUGCUCAACGCCGUACAGCCGUUGAAACUGGCAGUCUUGAGUGGGCGAGAAGUAUGCGGAAUGCGUGGUGUAGCGGUGAAAUGCAUAGAUAUCACGCAGAACUCCGAUUGCGAAGGCAGCAUACCGGCGCUCAACUGACGCUCAUGCACGAAAGCGUGGGGAUCGAACAGGAUUAGAUACCCCCGUACAC